RNAcentral lists this long non-coding RNA (900 nucleotides) under Equus caballus (horse). Its description in RNAcentral is "lncRNA (ENSECAG00000057969.1)". Lineage: Eukaryota; Metazoa; Chordata; Mammalia; Perissodactyla; Equidae. The record is from RNAcentral.
AACAUGGCAAAGUGAGAGACACCCCUCACACCCCGACUGAGAAAGAUAAAGUAGAACAGAUGCACCAGGGAGAGGUGGAGCAGAGAUCCCAAGAGACAUUCAAAGACGGAGACCCAGCAGCCAGCAGGACAGAAACUCUGAGAUACACCUCCCCAAAGCUGGAAAGAGAGCCCCGGGGAGAGAUGCUGAGGGGGGAGGGCACCCCUUCCCCCAAGCCGACACUUACCAACGCUGAAGCUGAGGGAACUGAAGACAAGGUCGAUCUUGUUAAGGCGGCGGAAGACUGGCCAGAAGGAGAUGCCCAUGUAUGUCAAGAGCUUCAGCCCCUCCUGAGAAUUACGUCUCCUCCUUUUGGCUCUUCCUAUUGAGUCUGCUUUUCAACAAUGCAAGACUGUUUGAGCCAAAUGAGCUAAGACUCCCUCUGCUUCGUUUCUGGCAAACUGCAUGUCUCUAACACCUAACCAGAAAGCGGGAGCUCUUCUGUGACCCGUGAAACCAGUUCCCUACGUUUACUACCCUCUGAAGCAUCUAGAAUGAUUUCUUCUCCUAGCUGGAUCCUGACUUGCCACUACAUGGAGCCUUGAGAAUGAAACCAAUUCAAGUAGCCAAGAAACAGACAGACCGAAAUGUCUGAUGCUAUCACUUGGACUCCUGGGUUCAGCCAUGCCUGAAAGCACUCCUACCCCAACCCUUUUUCACUGAGGCGAGCCCGUAAAUUCCUUCACCCAAGCUAGUUCAAGUUAGAGUCUCUGUCAUUGUGACCCAAAAACUCCUAAUUCAAGGUAUUCCAUAGGUUGGCAAGGAACACAGGGGUCAAUGCUGCCUGCGUACCAGCCACCAAAAUCACAGUCAAACCCUAAAACACACACACACACACAGCCAGAAUUCAAUAUUCACCAA